AUUACUUUGGCAGAUAAGUGCAAUGGAUUUAGAAUUCAUUAAUGUAGUAUAAUACUAUAAGUAAUA
RNAcentral lists this transfer RNA (66 nucleotides) under Eucorydia linglong. Its description in RNAcentral is "tRNA-Leu". It matches the Rfam family "tRNA". From Rfam's summary of the family: Transfer RNA (tRNA) molecules are approximately 80 nucleotides in length. Lineage: Eukaryota; Metazoa; Arthropoda; Insecta; Blattodea; Corydiidae. The record is from RNAcentral.